This 397-nucleotide ribosomal RNA is filed under the name uncultured bacterium. Its description in RNAcentral is "bacterial SSU rRNA". It matches the Rfam family "Bacterial small subunit ribosomal RNA", at positions 358 to 772 of the family's 1533-position model. The record is from RNAcentral.
GGAAUAUUGGACAAUGGGCCCAAGCCUGAUCCAGCAAUGCCGCGUGAGUGAUGAAGGUCUUAGGGUUGUAAAGCUCUUUUGCCAGGGAAGAUGAUGACUGUACCUGGAGAAUAAGCCCCGGCUAACUUCGUUCCAGCAGCCGCGGUAAUCCGAAGGGGGCUAGCGUUGUUCGGAAUUCCUGGGCGUAAAGGGCGCGUAGGCGGCCGGCUAAGUUAGAUGUGAAAGUCCUGGGCUCAACCUGGGGACUGCAUUUAAUACUGGUUGGCUUGAAUUCGGGAGAGGAUAGCGGAAUUCCCAGUGUAGAGGUGAAAUUCGUAGAUAUUGGGAAGAACACCGGUGGCGAAGGCGGCUAUCUGGACCGACAUUGACGCUGAGGCGCGGAAGCGUGGGGAGCAAA